AGUUCAGUGGUCCAGUGGUUAGGCGCUGGUCACGGAACCAAAGGGUCCUGGGUUCGAUCCCCAACGGGGUCG
RNAcentral lists this transfer RNA (72 nucleotides) under Schistosoma japonicum. RNAcentral's name for it is "tRNA-Pro". The record is from RNAcentral. Lineage: Eukaryota; Metazoa; Platyhelminthes; Trematoda; Strigeidida; Schistosomatidae.